GAUGAACGCUGGCGGCGUGCCUAAUACAUGCAAGUCGAGCGAACAGACCAGGAGCUUGCUCCUCUGACGUUAGCGGCGGACGGGUGAGUAACACGUGGAUAACCUACCUAUAAGACUGGGAUAACUUCGGGAAACCGGAGCUAAUACCGGAUAAUAUAUUGAACCGCAUGGUUCAAUAGUGAAAGACGGUUUUGCUGUCACUUAUAGAUGGAUCCGCGCGGCAUUAGCUAGUUGGUAAGGUAACGGCCUACCAAGGCAACGAUGCGUAGCCGACCUGAGAGGGUGAUAGGCCACACUGGAACUGAGACACGGUCCAGACUCCUACGGGAGGCAGCAGUAGGGAAUCUUCCGCAAUGGGCGAAAGCUUGACGGAGCAACGCCGCGUGAGUGAUGAAGGUCUUCGGAUCGUAAAACUCUGUUAUUAGGGAAGAACAAAUGUGUAAGUAACUAUGCACGUCUUGACGGUACCUAAUCAGAAAGCCACGGCUAACUACGUG
RNAcentral lists this ribosomal RNA (497 nucleotides) under uncultured bacterium. Its description in RNAcentral is "partial 16S ribosomal RNA". It matches the Rfam family "Bacterial small subunit ribosomal RNA", at positions 28 to 507 of the family's 1533-position model. The record is from RNAcentral.